GGGGUGGUGGCGCAGUUGGCUAGCUCGUAGGUCUCAUAAUCCUGAGGUCGAGAGUUCGAGCCUCUCUCACCCCA
Molecule: transfer RNA, 74 nt
Filed under: Solanum lycopersicum (tomato)
Lineage: Eukaryota; Viridiplantae; Streptophyta; Magnoliopsida; Solanales; Solanaceae
Also listed under: 2 other names
Description: tRNA-Met (CAT) (tRNA-Met-CAT-4-1)
Rfam family: tRNA
About the family: Transfer RNA (tRNA) molecules are approximately 80 nucleotides in length. Their secondary structure includes four short double-helical elements and three loops (D, anti-codon, and T loops).
Source: RNAcentral